GCCAGGCAGGGUGGCGCACGCCUGUAAUCCCAGUGGCUCAGGAGGCAGAGGCAGGAGAACAGUGAGUUCAAAGCCAACCUCAGCAAAAGCAAGGUGCUAAACAGCUAUGUGAGACCCUGUCUCUA
This 125-nucleotide small RNA is filed under the name Marmota monax (woodchuck). The record is from RNAcentral. Lineage: Eukaryota; Metazoa; Chordata; Mammalia; Rodentia; Sciuridae.